Molecule: ribosomal RNA, 429 nt
Filed under: Chloroflexota bacterium
Lineage: Bacteria; Bacillati; Chloroflexota
Description: Chloroflexi bacterium partial 16S ribosomal RNA
Rfam family: Bacterial small subunit ribosomal RNA
Source: RNAcentral
UGGGGAAUAUUGCACAAUGGGCGCAAGCCUGAUGCAGCCAUGCCUCGUGUAUGAAGAAGGCCUUCGGGUUGUAAAGUACUUUCAGCGGGGUGGAAGGGAGUAAAGUUAAUACCUUUGCUCAUUGCCGUUACCCGCAGAAGAAGCACCGGCUAACUCCGUGCCAGCAGCCGCGGUAAUACGGAGGGUGCAAGCGUUAAUCGGAAUUACUGGGAGUAAGGCGCACGCAGGCGGUUUGUUAAGUCAGAUGUGAAAUCCCCGGGCUAAAACUGGGAACUGCAUCGGAUACUGGCAAGCUUGAGUCUCGUAGAGGGGGGUAGAAUUCCAGGUGUAGCGGUGAAAGGCGUAGAGAUCUGGAGGAAUACCGGUGGCGAAGGCGGCCCCCUGGACGAAGACUGACGCUCAGGUGCGAAAGAGUGGGGAGCAAACAGG